UCAUUAAAGAGUUCUAUAACUCCCAAACCCAUGUGAACAUACCUAACGUUGCCUCGGCAGGUCGCACCUACCUUGUAGCACCCUACCCUGUAGGGCCUACCCGGGAGGUGCGGGUAAGCCUGCCGGCGGCCCACCAAACUCUGUUUGAUAUUGAAUUCUGAACCUAUAACUAAAUAAGUUAAAACUUUCAACAACGGAUCUCUUGGUUCUGGCAUCGAUGAAGAACGCAGCGAAAUGCGAUAAGUAAUGUGAAUUGCAGAAUUCAGUGAAUCAUCGAAUCUUUGAACGCAUAUUGCGCCCAUUAGUAUUCUAGUGGGCAGGACCGUUCGAGCGUCAUUUCAACCCUUAAGCCUUCGUUGCUUAGUGUUGGGAGCCUACGGCAACGUAGCUCCUCAAAGUUAGUGGCGGAGUUGGUUCACACUCUAGACGUAGUAAUUUUUUAUCUCGCCUAUUAGUUGGACUAAUCCCCUGCCGUAAAACCCCCAAUUUAUCAAGGUUGACCUCGAAUCGGUUCAGACAAACUCGCUAAAUUGAAGCAUCUUAGUCAGCGAAGGAAAAGAAACCAACAGGGAUUGCCCUAGUAACGGCGAGUGAAGCGGCAACAGCUCAAAUUUGAAAUCUG
Molecule: ribosomal RNA, 622 nt
Filed under: fungal endophyte
Lineage: Eukaryota; Fungi
Description: eukaryotic LSU rRNA
Rfam family: 5.8S ribosomal RNA (bases 183-336)
Source: RNAcentral